RNAcentral lists this long non-coding RNA (486 nucleotides) under Solanum tuberosum (potato). RNAcentral describes it as "long non-coding RNA (STUB_LNC004877)". Lineage: Eukaryota; Viridiplantae; Streptophyta; Magnoliopsida; Solanales; Solanaceae. The record is from RNAcentral.
GAGGUCAUUUAUCUCUUUCUGUAGCUGAUAUAGUUUGCAUCCAUUGGUUUGAUCAUACCUUUCUUCCAACUCUGCCCAAAGUUCAUGAGCAUUGUUUACAUACUGCAGACUGUCACGUAGAUCAGGAGAUAAUGAAUUCAGGAUCCAAGAAGUUACCAUAUCAUCACACCUUUCCCAUUGCAGAAAACCAGGAUCAGUAGGAGCAGGUCGUACAAGUGUUCCAUUGAUGAAUCCUGUUUUGCUUUUCACUGAUAGAGCUCUAAGUACAGCUCUUCUCCAAGAUCUGUAACCUGUACCAUCAAAACUGCAGGCAAUAGAGAAGAUCCAGCACUUUCUGAUGGAUGCAAGUAAAGAGGACUGGCAAAAUCUAUUCGAACUGAUGUGGGAUCAGCAUGAAGAUGAGAGGAACUCGAAUUAGCUUCAGCUUGGAGAUCAACCAUAUUGAGAAUCGCAAAGAGAUUCAAUCACUCGACAAUCAACCAAUAA